GAUGAACGCUGGCGGUAUGCUUAACACAUGCAAGUCGAACGGACUCUUCGGAGUUAGUGGCGGACGGGUGGGUAACGCGUGGUAAUCUGGCUUUGGGUUCGGGACCAUCAAUGGAAACGGUGCCUAAUAACGGAUGUGCCGAGAGGUAAUAGAGAAAUUGCCUGCAGAUGAGCUCGCGUCUAAUUAGCUAGUUGGGGAGAGAAGGGCCCACCAAGGCAGCGAUCAGUAGCGGGUCUGAGUGGCUGACCAGCCACACGGGGUCAGAGACACAGCCGAGACUCCUGGGGGACAGAGGUGUGGAGAAUUGUCCGCAAGGGGCGAGAGCCUGACGGAGCAAUACCGCGUGAGAGAAGAAGGCUCUUGGGGUGAAAACCUUUUGUCUUAGACAAGAACAGAAUGACGGUAACUGAUGAAGAAGCAUCGGCUAACUACGUG
RNAcentral lists this ribosomal RNA (435 nucleotides) under uncultured bacterium. RNAcentral's name for it is "partial 16S ribosomal RNA". It matches the Rfam family "Bacterial small subunit ribosomal RNA", at positions 28 to 507 of the family's 1533-position model. The record is from RNAcentral.